Long non-coding RNA from Xiphophorus couchianus (Monterrey platyfish), 1434 nucleotides. RefSeq lists it as uncharacterized. The record is from RefSeq and is a predicted model, not a curated record. The transcript is spliced from 2 exons. NCBI's taxonomy places the organism in Eukaryota, Metazoa, Chordata, Actinopteri, Cyprinodontiformes, Poeciliidae.
CGCAUUUGUACUGUGAAUGGAAACACAGCCGUGUGAGGUGUGCUGCAUAUUCUCGCACUACUACCCAGAGACAAACUGUCCCAUCCAACAGCUCUGAGGUGAAAUUGAGGGAAGAAAUGUGUGAGUGAGUUACAACUGACAGUCUUUGUGAAAGCAUUUCUUCAGCAGAAGCCUCACGGAAAUAACCUCUGAUGGUUUGUGCCGGUAAUGAAUGACGUGUUGAGAGAAAAACAGCCAAAAGAUAAGCCUGCUCAGACUUUGCACAUUUUCUGUGGGUGUUCUGGAGACGAAUGUGAGCCCCCCCCCCCGAGAAAAAAAGGGAUGGUCCCACAGAGAAAAACAGCUCCACCGUGCCAGACAGCUAGGACCAGAAAAGGCAGCCUUUUCCAGUAAAGAAGAGUUUCAAUAUACAGACGUCAACUGUGAGCCAACUUAUGUUUUAAAUGAUUGCAUUAGGUCGUAUUAACAUCAAAGGCUCCCGUUGUAACCAAACAUGACUGUUCAAAUAAAAAAGUGAUAACCUUUUUAAGUGAAUAUCCCAUUGACGGGAUUUGUGAUUCAUCAGUUGUUACUGUCUUGUGACUUUCCAGAUUAAAUAGAUCUUCCAUUUAAUCUUCCCUUUGAGUCAAGAGACAGUUUAAAAGAUAACUACAUUUGUAUGUCUCAUCUUAAACUUGUUCAUAGAUAAUAAAAAAAAAAUCAAGACAGGAUCCUCUGUUUUAUCUUACCACGCAUCAUGUUUUACUGAGAGGCUGUUGCUGUGAGGACAGAUAUUAGAGAGAGUGAAAAACCAAAAUGUUCAAUUCACUAUGUUAGACUUGGAAAGGUGUUUGAAUGAAUACAUGAAUAUUCAUCAUAUGUGAGGAGUUAUCAACCUUUGUAAGUAAUAAAAAAUGUAAUUCCGUAAAAAAAAAGUUAUGCAUUAAAUCUAUUUAAUUAAUUAAUUAAAAUACUAAGUUACAGUCUUGGUCCUAAUAAUGAUGCCUUGCAGUGUCUUUUUGUAGGUACCUGAGUGGACAAAAGGGCAAAAGCACAAGCCAGCCUUUAAAGUCUUUUGGUUCUAUCUGUUUAUAAAGUGCAGAUUCCCAACAAACAUCAUAUUUAAAAGACUGAAAAUAAAAGUGAAAUAACUAUAAAUAAACGUAUAUAACAACAUUGAAGCAAAAGCUGAUUUGUAAUUCUGGAUAUUUAGAGUGUGUUUUACUCACUUAGUGCUAAUCUCCAGACGUUAUCUCUAUUACCAGAUUCAUUACAGGCACACAGCCCUUUGUAAAUAUUAGGUGAUGAUAUCAUUUAGCACCAGGUGAAAUCUCCAAAUAUUUAUUGGACAUUUUUCUCCAUUGAACAUAAAUGAGAAAGAAAUGGAAUGGUGCUGCUUUCCACUGAUGCUAAUUCCUAAAAAAAAACAUAAAAACUCUUAAACUUCAGUGUACU